This 501-nucleotide ribosomal RNA is filed under the name Halopseudomonas pachastrellae. RNAcentral describes it as "bacterial SSU rRNA". It matches the Rfam family "Bacterial small subunit ribosomal RNA", at positions 94 to 591 of the family's 1533-position model. The record is from RNAcentral. Lineage: Bacteria; Pseudomonadati; Pseudomonadota; Gammaproteobacteria; Pseudomonadales; Pseudomonadaceae.
AGCGGCGGACGGGUGAGUAAAGCCUAGGAAUCUGCCUGGUAGUGGGGGACAACGACUCGAAAGGGUCGCUAAUACCGCAUACGUCCUACGGGAGAAAGUGGGGGAUCUUCGGACCUCACGCUAUCAGAUGAGCCUAGGUCGGAUUAGCUUGUAGGUGAGGUAAUGGCUCACCUAGGCAACGAUCCGUAACUGGUCUGAGAGGAUGAUCAGUCACACUGGAACUGAGACACGGUCCAGACUCCUACGGGAGGCAGCAGUGGGGAAUAUUGGACAAUGGGCGAAAGCCUGAUCCAGCCAUGCCGCGUGUGUGAAGAAGGUCUUCGGAUUGUAAAGCACUUUAAGUUGGGAGGAAGGGUUGUAGUUUAAUACGCUGCAACUUUGACGUUACCAACAGAAUAAGCACCGGCUAACUCUGUGCCAGCAGCCGCGGUAAUACAGAGGGUGCAAGCGUUAAUCGGAAUUACUGGGCGUAAAGCGCGCGUAGGCGGCUUGAUAAGAUGG